RNAcentral lists this ribosomal RNA (899 nucleotides) under uncultured Comamonadaceae bacterium. RNAcentral describes it as "bacterial SSU rRNA". It matches the Rfam family "Bacterial small subunit ribosomal RNA", at positions 57 to 954 of the family's 1533-position model. The record is from RNAcentral. Lineage: Bacteria; Pseudomonadati; Pseudomonadota; Betaproteobacteria; Burkholderiales; Comamonadaceae.
GCAAGUCGAACGGUAACAGGUCUUCGGAUGCUGACGAGUGGCGAACGGGUGAGUAAUACAUCGGAACGUGCCCAAUCGUGGGGGAUAACGCAGCGAAAGCUGUGCUAAUACCGCAUAAGAUCUAAGGAUGAAAGCGGGGGAUCGCAAGACCUCGCGCGAAUGGAGCGGCCGAUGGCAGAUUAGGUAGUUGGUAGGGUAAAAGCCUACCAAGCCGACGAUCUGUAGCUGGUCUGAGAGGACGACCAGCCACACUGGGACUGAGACACGGCCCAGACUCCUACGGGAGGCAGCAGUGGGGAAUUUUGGACAAUGGGCGCAAGCCUGAUCCAGCAAUGCCGCGUGCAGGAUGAAGGCCUUCGGGUUGUAAACUGCUUUUGUACGGAGCGAAAAGGUCUCUUCUAAUACAGGAGGCCCAUGACGGUACCGUAAGAAUAAGCACCGGCUAACUACGUGCCAGCAGCCGCGGUAAUACGUAGGGUGCAAGCGUUAAUCGGAAUUACUGGGCGUAAAGCGUGCGCAGGCGGUGUUGUAAGACAGAGGUGAAAUCCCCGGGCUCAACCUGGGAACUGCCUUUGUGACUGCAACGCUAGAGUACGGCAGAGGGGGAUGGAAUUCCGCGUGUAGCAGUGAAAUGCGUAGAUAUGCGGAGGAACACCGAUGGCGAAGGCAAUCCCCUGGGCCUGUACUAACGCUCAUGCACGAAAGCGUGGGGAGCAAGCAGGAUUAGAUACCCUGGUAGUCCACGCCCUAAACGAUGUCAACUGGUUGUUGGGAAUUCACUUUCUCAGUAACGAAGCUAACGCGUGAAGUUGACCGCCUGGGGAGUACGGCCGCAAGGUUAAAACUCAAAGGAAUUGACGGGGACCCGCACAAGCGGUGGAUGAUGUGGUUUAAUUCGA